AGAGCGAACGCUGGCGGCAGGCCUAACACAUGCAAGUCGAGCGCCCCGCAAGGGGAGCGGCAGACGGGAGAGUAACACGUGGGAACGUACCCUUUGGUUCGGAACAACACAGGGAAACUUGUGCUAAUACCGGAUAAGCCCUUACGGGGAAAGAUUUAUCGCCAAAGGAUCGGCCCGCGUCUGAUUAGCUUGUUGGUGAGGUAACGGCUCACCAAGGCUACGAUCAGUAGCUGGUCUGAGAGGAUGAUCAGCCUCACUGGGACUGAGACACGGCCCAGACUCCUACGGGAGGCAGCAGUGGGGAAUAUUGGACAAUGGGCGCAAGCCUGAUCCAGCCAUGCCGCGUGGAUGAUGAAGGCCCGUAGGGUUGUAAAGUCCUUUCGACGGGGAAGAGUAAUGACGGUACCCGUAGAAGAACGCCCCGGCUAACUUCGCGCCAGCAGCCGC
This 447-nucleotide ribosomal RNA is filed under the name uncultured bacterium. Its description in RNAcentral is "SSU rRNA". It matches the Rfam family "Bacterial small subunit ribosomal RNA", at positions 26 to 518 of the family's 1533-position model. The record is from RNAcentral.